AUCCCUGUGGUAUAAUGGUAGUAUACUUUACUCUUAUGGAUUGGGUAACUUAUGUAUAUCUGAUGUAGCAAGUUAUCUGACCUAGUAUUAAAGAGGUUGAGGGUUUAAUUCCUCCUAGGGGCA
Non-coding RNA from Lasiosphaeria hispida, 123 nucleotides. The record is from the annotation of a GenBank genome assembly. Lineage: Eukaryota; Fungi; Ascomycota; Sordariomycetes; Sordariales; Lasiosphaeriaceae.